CUGUUAACCCUAUCUGGCCCGAGUUUGUCUCGGCUCGUAUAAGGACUCGGCUUGUGUAACUGAUGACAACCGAUUAAAUUCUUAUUUUAUCUAGUAAUUUGUUAGCUCCACGUUUAAUGAUAAUUUGAGAAAAUAUAUAUGGUACAACAGCAACAAAAUAAUAAAAACAUUUAGUGUGGAUGUUCCCAAUGUUUAGAUGCAAACAAAACAAUAUUAUUUAUAAAUGGAUUAUAUAUAUCAUCUAGGGAAAACACUGUAAAAUGCGCUUAUUUUCGAGAUAGCACGCUUCCAUGCAGACUGUUUUUUUUAAGCAGAAGUUUGGUUUCAUAAGAAACACAUGCGUGAGUCAACUCUUGGUCCAAACUCCAAUCCAGACGGUGGCGGUAAUGUUCCAAAAGCUGGUUGCCAACCGCUAUGAUGAUCACAAGAAGAAAAAGAAGUUUGGCGUUUCAAAACAGUGGAUUCCGGUCAGAAAGACACACAUGAGGAAGCUCGACUCAGCUUGGCUUGCAGACAGAUGAGGACGGUGAUUGCCUGUCAUACACCUAAAGAAAGAACAGGGGCAUUAAAGACACAACUAUAGUGAACGUGAUGAAGAAAAAUUAUUUGGAACAAAGAGGCUGGAGAAAAAACUGAUAUGAAGAUUUCAGAAAUUGAUGCAGCACCGCAAGUACCAUCACCACCAAUGACUAUGGCAGGAUCCUUAAGAACACCAUCAAGAUGCACAGAUGCUGUACAUUCCAGUACACCUAUGAACAUUUACAGUCCUUGUUCAAGUGCAGUCGGAGAUCAAGACAACUUAUUGCAACUCGUCAUGUCUUUCACGACUGAAAAAAAGUUUUAAAAUCAUGUGACGUCAUAAAGCAGCAACUGUGCCUGAU
Molecule: non-coding RNA, 881 nt
Organism: Danio rerio (zebrafish)
Lineage: Eukaryota; Metazoa; Chordata; Actinopteri; Cypriniformes; Danionidae
Source: RefSeq, a predicted model, not a curated record